CCAAUAGCGUAUAUUAAAGUUGCUGCAGUUAAAAAGCUCGUAGUUGAAUUUCGGGACCAAUAUGUCGGUNNNNCCUCGGNACGNNNNGGCNUCNUUGGUUUCUCCCUUCUGACGAACCAUGAUGUCAUUUAUUUGGUGUUGUGGGGAAUCAGGACUGUUACUUUGAAAAAAUUAGAGUGUUUAUAGCAGGCUCACGCUUGAAUACAUUAGCAUGGAAUAAUGAAAUAGGACGUUUGAUUCUAUUUUGUUGGUUUCUAGGAUCGACGUAAUGAUUAAUAGGGAUAGUUGGGGGCAUUAGUAUUCAAUUGUCAGAGGUGAAAUUCUUGGAUUUAUUGAAGACUAACUACUGCGAAAGCAUUUGCCAAGGAUGUUUUCAUUAAUCAAGAACGAAAGUUAGGGGAUCGAAGACGAUCAGAUACCGUCGUAGUCUUAACCAUAAACUAUGCCGACUAGGGAUCGGAUGAUGUUAAUUUUUUAAUGACUCAUUCGGCGCCUUACG
This 499-nucleotide ribosomal RNA is filed under the name uncultured Glomeromycotina. Its description in RNAcentral is "partial small subunit ribosomal RNA". It matches the Rfam family "Eukaryotic small subunit ribosomal RNA", at positions 591 to 1092 of the family's 1831-position model. The record is from RNAcentral. Lineage: Eukaryota; Fungi; Glomeromycota.